UGAGUAAUGUCUGGGAAACUGCCUGAUGGAGGGGGAGUAACUACUGGAAACGGUAGCUAAUACCGCAUAACGUCGCAAGACCAAAGAGGGGGACCUGCGGGCCUCUUGCCAUCGGAUGUGCCCAGAUGGGAUUAGCUAGUAGGUGGGGUAACGGCUCACCUAGGCGACGAUCCCUAGCUGGUCUGAGAGGAUGACCAGCCACACUGGAACUGAGACACGGUCCAGACUCCUACGGGAGGCAGCAUG
This 246-nucleotide ribosomal RNA is filed under the name uncultured bacterium. RNAcentral describes it as "partial 16S ribosomal RNA". It matches the Rfam family "Bacterial small subunit ribosomal RNA", at positions 107 to 353 of the family's 1533-position model. The record is from RNAcentral.